Molecule: ribosomal RNA, 457 nt
Filed under: Pseudomonas sp. R-41750
Lineage: Bacteria; Pseudomonadati; Pseudomonadota; Gammaproteobacteria; Pseudomonadales; Pseudomonadaceae
Description: bacterial SSU rRNA
Rfam family: Bacterial small subunit ribosomal RNA
Source: RNAcentral
AUUGAACGCUGGCGGCAGGCCUAACACAUGCAAGUCGAGCGGUAGAGAGAAGCUUGCUUCUCUUGAGAGCGGCGGACGGGUGAGUAAUGCCUAGGAAUCUGCCUGGUAGUGGGGGAUAACGUUCGGAAACGGACGCUAAUACCGCAUACGUCCUACGGGAGAAAGCAGGGGACCUUMGGGCCUUGCGCUAUCAGAUGAGCCUAGGUCGGAUUAGCUAGUUGGUGAGGUAAUGGCUCACCAAGGCGACGAUCCGUAACUGGUCUGAGAGGAUGAUCAGUCACACUGGAACUGAGACACGGUCCAGACUCCUACGGGAGGCAGCAGUGGGGAAUAUUGGACAAUGGGCGAAAGCCUGAUCCAGCCAUGCCGCGUGUGUGAAGAAGGUCUUCGGAUUGUAAAGCACUUUAAGUUGGGAGGAAGGGUUGUAGAUUAAUACUCUGCAAUUUGACGUACCGAC